This 334-nucleotide ribosomal RNA is filed under the name uncultured eukaryote. RNAcentral's name for it is "partial 18S ribosomal RNA". It matches the Rfam family "Eukaryotic small subunit ribosomal RNA", at positions 1470 to 1796 of the family's 1831-position model. The record is from RNAcentral.
CCCUUAGAUGUCCGGGGCCGCACGCGCGCUACACUGAAGGAAUCAGCGUGGCUUUCUCCCUGACCCGAAAGGGUUGGGAAACCCGUUGAAUCUCCUUCGUGAUAGGGAUUGGGGCUUGAAAUUGUUCCCCACGAACGAGGAAUUCCCAGUAAGCGCGAGUCAUAAGCUCGCGUUGAUUACGUCCCUGCCCUUUGUACACACCGCCCGUCGCUACUACCGAUUGAACGGUUUAGUGAGGGCCUCGGAUUGGUCUCGGCCCGCUCUUUACCGGGCGGCGCCGUUGGUCGAGAAGACGCUCGAACUUGAUCGUUUAGAGGAAGUAAAAGUCGUAACA